Molecule: ribosomal RNA, 255 nt
Filed under: uncultured bacterium
Lineage: Bacteria
Description: partial 16S ribosomal RNA
Rfam family: Bacterial small subunit ribosomal RNA
Source: RNAcentral
UACGUAGGGGGGCGAGCGUUGUCCGGAGUUACUGGGCGUAAAGCGCACGCAGGCGGUCUGCUAAGUUUGGAGUGACAGUUGGUGGCUUAACUGCCAAAGUGCUUCGAAAAACUGACAGACUUGAGGGCUUCAGAGGGACACGGAAUUCCGGGUGGAGUGGUGAAAUGCGUAGAGAUCCGGAGGAACACCAAAGGCGAAGGCAGUGUCCUGGGGAGUACCUGACGCUCAGGUGCGAAAGCCAGGGGAGCGAACGGG